UUGUGUGCGUAUAGGAGUUGUCUCUAUGGGUGUAAUGUUGUCCAGGACAUCUUUAAAUUCAGCGUACACUUUGGCAUAACUUGUUUUAUUAGCAUGAAAGACACUGGACAGAAGCGACGCUGCUGGCAGGCCAUAAGCGAAGACCCUGACCAGUUCUUUUGCUGUGUUGCAUUUGCAAAUGAAGAGCUUGCAUAUUCAUACCUGUUCCUUGUAAAGGCCUUAUAGAAAAGAAUUGCAUUUUUGGGAUGGGUGCCAAAACGACAGCCAUUAAUCAUAUGAAGAAA
This is a long non-coding RNA of Drosophila willistoni, 284 nucleotides long. RefSeq lists it as uncharacterized. NCBI's taxonomy places the organism in Eukaryota, Metazoa, Arthropoda, Insecta, Diptera, Drosophilidae. The transcript has 2 exons. The record is from RefSeq and is a predicted model, not a curated record.